GUGCUCACUUUGGCAGCACAUAUACUAAAAUUGGAACCAUACAGAGAAGAUUAGCAUCGCCCCUGUGCAAGGAUGACACAUAAACUCAUGAAGCAUUCCAUAUUUAA
RNAcentral lists this small nuclear RNA (107 nucleotides) under Colobus angolensis palliatus. Lineage: Eukaryota; Metazoa; Chordata; Mammalia; Primates; Cercopithecidae. The record is from RNAcentral.